RNAcentral lists this ribosomal RNA (463 nucleotides) under uncultured bacterium. RNAcentral's name for it is "partial 16S ribosomal RNA". It matches the Rfam family "Bacterial small subunit ribosomal RNA", at positions 28 to 507 of the family's 1533-position model. The record is from RNAcentral.
GAUCAACGCUGGCGGCGUGCCUAAUGCAUGCAAGUCGAACGGUGCAUCCUUCUGCGUGCUUCAGUGGCAGACGGGUGAGGAACACGUGGGCAAGCUGCCCCGACGUGGUGGGUGGCCGCCGCAAACGGCGGGUAAUUCCGCAUGUACUCAUCGCCCGGUUGAGGCGUUGGUGAAAGGCUCGCGAGAGUCGCCUUUGGAUGCGAGUGCGGCGGCUUAGCUUGUUGGUGGGGUAACCGCGUAGCACGGCGGUGAUGGGUAGCUGGUCUGGGAGGACGGGCAGCGACACGGGGAGUGAGGCACGGCAGCGACUCCGAAGGGAGGGAGGAGAGAGGAAGCUGGCGCAAUGGGCGAAGGGCGGACGGAGCAAGGCCGCGUGGGGGAGGACGGCGGUGGGGAUGGAUACCGCUUUUCGAGGGGACGACGACUGACGGUACCUGAGGAAGAAGGACCGGCUAACUACGUG